Molecule: ribosomal RNA, 173 nt
Filed under: Scottnema lindsayae
Lineage: Eukaryota; Metazoa; Nematoda; Chromadorea; Rhabditida; Cephalobidae
Description: partial 18S ribosomal RNA
Rfam family: Eukaryotic small subunit ribosomal RNA
Source: RNAcentral
GUACACACCGCCCGUCGCUGCCCGGGACUGAGCCAUUUCGAGAAGAUCAGGGACUGGUGGUCCGUAGCCUCUUCGGGGGCUCGGAUUGCUGGAAACUGAUUUGAUCGCAGUGGCUUGAACCGGGCAAAAGUCGUAACAAGGUAGCCGUAGGUGAACCUGCGGCUGGAUCAUUA